This 433-nucleotide ribosomal RNA is filed under the name uncultured bacterium. Its description in RNAcentral is "partial 16S ribosomal RNA". It matches the Rfam family "Bacterial small subunit ribosomal RNA", at positions 29 to 507 of the family's 1533-position model. The record is from RNAcentral.
AGCGAACGCUAGCGGCAGGCUUAACACAUGCAAGUCGAGCGGGCCUUUCGGGGUCAGCGGCGGACGGGUGAGUAACGCGUGGGAACGUGCCCUCUGGCUCGGAAUAACUCAGGGAAACUUGAGCUAAUACCGGAUACGCCCUUUUGGGGAAAGGCUUGCUGCCGGAGGAUCGGCCCGCGUCUGAUUAGCUAGUUGGUGAGGUAACGGCUCACCAAGGCGACGAUCAGUAGCUGGUCUGAGAGGAUGAUCAGCCACACUGGGACUGAGACACGGCCCAGACUCCUACGGGAGGCAGCAGUGGGGAAUAUUGGACAAUGGGCGCAAGCCUGAUCCAGCCAUGCCGCGUGAGUGAUGAAGGCCUUAGGGUUGUAAAGCUCUUUUAUCCGGGACGAUAAUGACGGUACCGGAGGAAUAAGCCCCGGCUAACUUCGUG